AUUGAACGCUGGCGGCAGGCUUAACACAUGCAAGUCGAGCGGGGUGAUGGUGCUUGCACUAUCACUUAGCGGCGGACGGGUGAGUAAUGCUUAGGAAUCUGCCUAUUAGUGGGGGACAACAUCUCGAAAGGGAUGCUAAUACCGCAUACGUCCUACGGGAGAAAGCAGGGGAUCGCUUGUGACCUUGCGCUAAUAGAUGAGCCUAAGUCGGAUUAGCUAGUUGGUGGGGUAAAGGCCUACCAAGGCGACGAUCUGUAGCGGGUCUGAGAGGAUGAUCCGCCACACUGGGACUGAGCCACGGCCCAGACUCCUACGGGAGGCAGCAGUGGGGAAUAUUGGACAAUGGGGGGAACCCUGAUCCAGCCAUGCCGCGUGUGUGAAGAAGGCCUUAUGGUUGUAAAGCACUUUAAGGGAGGAGGAGGCUCUUUUGGUUAAUACCCAAGAUGAGUGGACGUUACUCGCAGAAUAAGCACCGGCUAACUCUGUGCCAGCAGCCGCCGUAA
RNAcentral lists this ribosomal RNA (503 nucleotides) under uncultured bacterium. Its description in RNAcentral is "partial 16S ribosomal RNA". It matches the Rfam family "Bacterial small subunit ribosomal RNA", at positions 30 to 523 of the family's 1533-position model. The record is from RNAcentral.